This 72-nucleotide transfer RNA is filed under the name Loxodonta africana (African savanna elephant). Its description in RNAcentral is "tRNA-Ala (CGC) (tRNA-Ala-CGC-11-1)". It matches the Rfam family "tRNA". Rfam says of the family: Transfer RNA (tRNA) molecules are approximately 80 nucleotides in length. Their secondary structure includes four short double-helical elements and three loops (D, anti-codon, and T loops). The record is from Rfam by way of RNAcentral. Lineage: Eukaryota; Metazoa; Chordata; Mammalia; Proboscidea; Elephantidae.
GGGGGUGUAGCUCAGUGGUAGAGCGUGUGCUUCGCAUGCACGAUGUCCCUGGUUCAAUUCCUGGCACCUCCA